CUUUGAGUCGCCUUCAUGCCUCAGCAACCCGGGAGAACGAAACAGCACCAGAACUGGACAAAAGUGGUCCAUAAAUGGCAUCAGAAGAGAGACGCUGCUCACAAGUCUCCAGAAUCCUCCAUCUAAUGACUCACUACAGGUCACUUCCACCGCGCGAUCAAUCAAGGGCGUCAAUGAUGCCCCCCGCGGGCCGCUAUGAAGUGCAAGACGCCGAGCGUUCGAUCGGCGGCGGCCAGCCACCUUGCCGACUUUCGCCAUAAUAUCGUGAUUGAUUCAUCUUCAAAGAUAUCUUAAGUGGAUGGGCUGGUUUUUUUUUUUUUUUUGGUCUACUGCAGUCUUUUUCAUUACCCCCGCUCGCCAUCCUUUAAAACUGCAACACGCAUCAAAACUGGAGGUAAAUACACUGCUUUUGCUUUUCUUUUAUUUAUUUGAUUUAUUCCUCUGCUUUCAACUUUGAAAGACAAUAAAGUAGAAAGGAAGUGUGCUCUUUGAACACCGAUUGGGUUUCACCACUACAAAGUAGAAAGAAGAUAACAAUGGAAAAGAUUCAUCUGCUAAUAAACGGACUUUUGUGCUGGCCGUAUUCUUGUUCUCUUGUUAAAAAAAAAGAAAAAAGACCAAACCAACUACAUUAAAUAGAAUGGAAGAUCUAAGGUCCAUCACAUAAUGGACGCCUGUCACCCUCAUAUUUGUUGGUUUAAAAAGAAAAUAUAUGCACAGCAAAUUUCAAUAAAAUUAUC
Molecule: long non-coding RNA, 740 nt
Organism: Syngnathus typhle (broad-nosed pipefish)
Lineage: Eukaryota; Metazoa; Chordata; Actinopteri; Syngnathiformes; Syngnathidae
Exons: 3
Source: RefSeq, a predicted model, not a curated record